RNAcentral lists this ribosomal RNA (487 nucleotides) under uncultured bacterium. RNAcentral's name for it is "bacterial SSU rRNA". It matches the Rfam family "Bacterial small subunit ribosomal RNA", at positions 28 to 507 of the family's 1533-position model. The record is from RNAcentral.
GAUGAACGCUAGCUACAGGCUUAACACAUGCAAGUCGAGGGGCAGCGCAGUGUAGUAAUACAUGGGCGGCGACCGGCGCACGGGUGCGUAACGCGUAUCCAACCUUCCCGUUACUCAGGGAUAGCCUUCCGAAAGGGAGAUUAAUACCUGAUGGUGUUCAAAUUCCGCAUGUUAUUUGAACUAAAGAUUUAUCGGUAGCGGAUGGGGAUGCGUGACAUUAGAUAGUAGGCGGGGUAACGGCCCACCUAGUCUACGAUGUCUAGGGGUUCUGAGAGGAAGGUCCCCCACACUGGAACUGAGACACGGUCCAGACUCCUACGGGAGGCAGCAGUGAGGAAUAUUGGUCAAUGGGCGGAAGCCUGAACCAGCCAAGUAGCGUGAAGGAUUACUGCCCACGGGUUUUAAACUUCUUUUAAUACGGGAACAAACCUCGGUAACGUGUACCGAAUUGCGUGUACCGUAUGAAUAAGCAUCGGCUAACUCCGUG